UACCAGCUCUUCGAGUGGUGUGGAUGUUUAUUGGGCCUAGAGCAUCCGUAGCUGGCUGGGCAAGUCCCCUGUUAAAUCCACCGAUUUAAUCGUUGGAGUGCGGGGGAUACUGUUCGGCUAGGGGACGGGAGAGGCAGACGGUAUUUUCGGGGUAGGGGUGAAAUCCUAUAAUCCCGGGAAGACCACCAGUGGCGAAGGCUGUCUGCUAGAACGCGCCCGACGGUGAGGGAUGAAAGCUGGGGGAGCGAACCGGAUUAGAUACCCGGGUAGUCCCAGCUGUAAACGAUGCAGGCUAGGUGUUUGGGCGGCCACGUGCCGCUCUAGUGCCGCAGGGAAGCCGUUAAGCCUGCCGCCUGGGGAGUACGGCCGCAAGGCUGAAACUUAAAGGAGUUGGCGGGGGAGCACCACAAGGGGUGAAGCUUGCGGUUU
RNAcentral lists this ribosomal RNA (429 nucleotides) under uncultured archaeon. RNAcentral describes it as "bacterial SSU rRNA". It matches the Rfam family "Archaeal small subunit ribosomal RNA", at positions 474 to 903 of the family's 1478-position model. The record is from RNAcentral.